CCUCGCCAGCCCACCAGGAGCAUCUAGUUCUAAUCGAGCGUGGAGUGUACGGACAGAGCACUCACUUCCACAUCAAAAUCCACAAAUAAAUAGUUAUUUGACCAUCUCGGUCUCAGGACUUUAACCCCAUUGAUAACCUGUUGGUUUGAGUUUUAAGAGGACAGGACAUAAGUGCAGAUGAAUGAUAUAAAAGAUCGGGAAAGAUUCUGUAUGGAGGAAUGGUCUAAGAUCAGUGGAGGCUGGUGAGAGGAGCUAUAGGAGGACGGGCUCAUUGUAAUAGCUGGAAUGGAAUAAAAUCAAACGCAUGGAAACCACAUGUUUGACUCUGGUCCAUUUAUUCCAUUCCAUUACAUUAAGCCCGUCCUAUAGCUCCUCCCACCAGCCUCCUCUGUUUAAGAUUCCUACCAAUGUGUCCAAUCUCGUAAAAAAUUAUCCUUCCAAAGUAAGGUUUUGAAAGUUAUUGAAACAGGGGUGCCAAUAAUUUUGAUAACUCUUUUUGGAAGAAAUUAUACUAUAUGUUAAACAAAAUGUCUUUCUCCGAGCAAUUGUAUUAGUAUAAAAUAAUAUCUUUUUUUUUUUUUUUUUUUGCUUGCAAUAUACACUACAUGACCAAAAAUCUCAUUCCAAAAUCAUGGGCAUUAAUAUGGAGUUGGUUCCCCCUUUGCUGUUGUAACUGUCUCCACUGUUCUGGGUAGGCUUUCCACUAGAUGCUGGAACAUUGCUGCGGGUGUCACGCCCUGACCUUAGUAUUCUUUGUUUUCUUUAUUGUUUUGGUUAGGUCAGGGUGUGACAAGGGUGAUGUGUGUUUUGUAUUGUCUAGGGGUUUUUGUAUGUUUAUGGGGUUUUACUAGUCUAGGUGUUUUUUAUGUCUAUGGUUGCCUAGAUUGGUUCUCAAUUAGAGACAGCUGUUUAUCGUUGUCUCUGAUUGGGAACCAUAUUUAGGCAGCCAUAUUCCUUGGGUAAUUCGUGGGUUAUUGUCUAUGUCUAGUUGCCUGUGUCUGCACUAGUAUUAUUAUAGUGUCACGUUUGGGUUGUUGUUUUUGUAUAGUUUGUUAAGUGUUCUUUGUCUUCAUUAAAAAGUCUUACGCUGUGCCUUGGUCUCCUCCAUACGAUGAACGUGACAGCGGAGACUUGCUUCCAAUCAGCCACAAGAGCAUUAGUGAG
Oncorhynchus tshawytscha (Chinook salmon) is the source of this 1164-nucleotide long non-coding RNA. The record is from Ensembl. NCBI's taxonomy places the organism in Eukaryota, Metazoa, Chordata, Actinopteri, Salmoniformes, Salmonidae.